CCCUGAAGCCUGAACUCGGCAGGUACGAAGGGAGGCAGGAAGCCAGGAAGGAGGCUAGCAGAGUUCCCUGCAGCAGACCCUCUGCCCAGACCAUCCAGUACAGCCUUUGCCAGAGGCACAACAGGCAGCAGUCGAUCCCAAGAGCAGCCACAUUGUCCCAUAUUUACGCUUGCCUGUGGCUGGAUUUGGAAGGACCUUGCAAGAGGAUUUAGGACUUCUCCAGAAAGAAGAAGGCAAGCAAGUUACUGUUACCACAUAGUGAACAUGCUACAAUUCUGGCUCGUGCUACUGAAGAUAUGUGGAAGCAAAGAAAUGUAAACUGGACAUGUAGAAGCAACUGUUGGCAGCAAGUUAGUAUUCAGUGGUUGUGCCUGGCAACACAUCUUUAUCAGGAGGAAGAAAAAGAAAUAUUACAAUGUAGUCACUGAGCAAUGCAGUUCUCCUCCUGCAACUCAUCAGAAACGAGAGGACAAAAUAUUUGCAUUUACAUACUGUUAAAAAAGGAACAACUGAAUGCCUUUUGCUGCUGGACAAAGCAAACAGCAUAUUAAUGCAGAAGGCAAGCAAUAAAAGGAAAAUAAAUAAAUAAUACUGAGUUCUUACAAGAUAA
Long non-coding RNA from Hemicordylus capensis (graceful crag lizard), 610 nucleotides. RefSeq lists it as uncharacterized. The transcript is spliced from 3 exons. The record is from RefSeq and is a predicted model, not a curated record. NCBI's taxonomy places the organism in Eukaryota, Metazoa, Chordata, Lepidosauria, Squamata, Cordylidae.